CAGAGUGGGGGGACACCUCGGGCGCGCCGGAUAAGGUUGGCCAGCCGCUUGGCCAGGCCACCUGUGCGGGGCUCCUCGAUGUGGAAGGUUCGGGUGAGGAGAUUGUAGAAGGAGCCAUAGCACACGGCCACCACAGUGCACCUCAAACUGGAUGGAAACCUUGGUGACUGAGUUGGCCGGCAGCUGAAUCAGCAUCUCCAGGAGGUGGGGUUGCAGCCGGUCCUGGGCAGGCUGGUAGUGGAUGUAACCUGG
Molecule: long non-coding RNA, 252 nt
Filed under: Homo sapiens (human)
Lineage: Eukaryota; Metazoa; Chordata; Mammalia; Primates; Hominidae
Description: HSALNT0267786
Source: RNAcentral